Long non-coding RNA from Hyla sarda, 244 nucleotides. RefSeq lists it as uncharacterized. The record is from RefSeq and is a predicted model, not a curated record. Lineage: Eukaryota; Metazoa; Chordata; Amphibia; Anura; Hylidae. The transcript is spliced from 3 exons.
AACCUGUGGCUCCGGAGUGUACAACCACGUGUACAACCAAGUGUACAACCACGGAGGUCACUCUACAAUGUAUCACCAAGCAGUCAAGAUAUAAUAGUUCAUCUAAAAGAUUAAAUGGUGGGUUCCAGAAAAUCUUUACAGAUGUUGAGUGCUCGAUGUGACGUAUGCAUUGUAUUCAUGAUUGCUUUCAAAAUCCUUAAAGUCCACCGAAGUAUCUUCAAUAUUAACAGUUUUGUUUGAUGUC